AAGACUUUAGAUAUGAUCCAGAGUACCACGGGACACGUGAAACCCUGUGGGAAGCAGGAGGGACCACCCUCCAAGGCUAAAUACUACCUAGUGACCGAUAGCGUAUAGUACCGUGAGGGAAAGGUGAAAAGAACCCCGGGAGGGGAGUGAAAUAGAACCUGAAACCCUGCACUUACAAGCUGUGGAAGCACAUUUCUUGUGUGACCGCGUACUUUUUGUAGAACGGGCCAACGAGUUACGUUAAGUAGCAAGGUUAAGCACUUAAGGUGCGGAGCCGUAGCGAAAGCGAGUUUUAACUGAGCGUUCAGUUACUUGACGUAGACCCGAAACCGGGCGACCUACCCAUGAGCAGGAUGAAGCGAAAGUAAAAGUUCGUGGAGGUCCGAACCCACGGGCG
Molecule: ribosomal RNA, 397 nt
Filed under: Clostridioides difficile
Lineage: Bacteria; Bacillati; Bacillota; Clostridia; Peptostreptococcales; Peptostreptococcaceae
Description: bacterial LSU rRNA
Rfam family: Bacterial large subunit ribosomal RNA
Source: RNAcentral